RNAcentral lists this ribosomal RNA (599 nucleotides) under Idiocerinae gen. sp. Ah1. Its description in RNAcentral is "eukaryotic LSU rRNA". It matches the Rfam family "Eukaryotic large subunit ribosomal RNA", at positions 1320 to 1872 of the family's 3401-position model. The record is from RNAcentral. Lineage: Eukaryota; Metazoa; Arthropoda; Insecta; Hemiptera; Cicadellidae.
GGAUGGCGCUGUAGCGUCGUGCCUAUACUCGGCCGUCAACGGCACAGUGGGCGGCCCCCUCGCGGGGGCCGGGCCGUUACGCCUUGACGAGUAGGAGGGUCGCGGCGGUGUGCACUGAAGGGUCACGGCGUGAGCCGGCCUGGAGCCGCCGUCGGCGCAGAUCUUGGUGGUAGUAGCAAAUACUCCAGCGAGGACCUGGAGGACUGACGUGGAGAAGGUUUCUUGUGAACAGCUGUUGCACAAGAGUCAGUCGACCCUAAGCCCUAGGAGAAAUCCUAUGUCGAUGGGGCGAAAGGGAAUCCGGUUCCUAUUCCGGAACCCGGUAGCGGAACCGUUCCAAUGCGGGCCCUCGUGAGAGCUCGUCGGGGCAACCCAAAGAGACCCGGAGACGCCGUCGGGAGAUCCGGAGAGAGUUGUCUUUUCUCUAUAAGCGUUCGAGUUCCCUGGAAUCCUUUAGCAGGGAGAUAGGGUUUGGAACGCGAAGAGCACCGCAGUUGCGGCGGUGUCCGGAUCUUCCCCUCGGACCUUGAAAAUCCGGGAGAGGGCUACGUGGAAAGUUCGCACCGGAUCGUACCCAUAUCCGCAGCAGGUCUCCAAGG